UGGACUGCGGCAGCUAUACAUGCAGUCGAGCGGACAGAUGGGAGCUUGCUCCCUGAUGUUAGCGGCGGACGGGUGAGUAACACGUGGGUAACCUGCCUGUAAGACUGGGAUAACUCCGGGAAACCGGGGCUAAUACCGGAUGGUUGUUUGAACCGCAUGGUUCAAACAUAAAAGGUGGCUUCGGCUACCACUUACAGAUGGACCCGCGGCGCAUUAGCUAGUUGGUGAGGUAACGGCUCACCAAGGCAACGAUGCGUAGCCGACCUGAGAGGGUGAUCGGCCACACUGGGACUGAGACACGGCCCAGACUCCUACGGGAGGCAGCAGUAGGGAAUCUUCCGCAAUGGACGAAAGUCUGACGGAGCAACGCCGCGUGAGUGAUGAAGGUUUUCGGAUCGUAAAGCUCUGUUGUUAGGGAAGAACAAGUACCGUUCGAAUAGGGCGGUACCUUGACGGUACCUAACCAGAAAGCCACGGCUAACUACGUGCCAGCAGCCGCGGUAAUACGUAGGUGGCAAGCGUUGUCCGGAAUUAUUGGGCGUAAAGGGCUCGCAGGCGGUUUCUUAAGUCUGAUGUGAAAGCCCCCGGCUCAACCGGGGAGGGUCAUUGGAAACUGGGGAACUUGAGUGCAGAAGAGGAGAGUGGAAUUCCACGUGUAGCGGUGAAAUGCGUAGAGAUGUGGAGGAACACCAGUGGCGAAGGCGACUCUCUGGUCUGUAACUGACGCUGAGGAGCGAAAACGUGGGGAGCCAACACGAUUAGAUACCCUGGUGGUCACUCUGGAAAAUAAUGA
Molecule: ribosomal RNA, 793 nt
Filed under: Bacillus subtilis
Lineage: Bacteria; Bacillati; Bacillota; Bacilli; Caryophanales; Bacillaceae
Description: bacterial SSU rRNA
Rfam family: Bacterial small subunit ribosomal RNA
Source: RNAcentral